GGCCAGUGAUGUGAGAUUAAUAUUUGCUACUCUUGAUGGGGUGCUGUUAACUCCAUUUGAUGAUUCUUAUCCACCGAGAUCUCUGAGGCC
Molecule: small nucleolar RNA, 90 nt
Organism: Pistacia vera
Lineage: Eukaryota; Viridiplantae; Streptophyta; Magnoliopsida; Sapindales; Anacardiaceae
Product: small nucleolar RNA SNORD24
Exons: 1
Source: RefSeq, a predicted model, not a curated record